RNAcentral lists this ribosomal RNA (253 nucleotides) under uncultured bacterium. RNAcentral describes it as "partial 16S ribosomal RNA". It matches the Rfam family "Bacterial small subunit ribosomal RNA", at positions 524 to 776 of the family's 1533-position model. The record is from RNAcentral.
GACGUAGGGUGCGAGCGUUGUCCGGAUUUAUUGGGCGUAAAGAGCUCGUAGGCGGCUCGUCGCGUCGACCGUGAAAACCCGCGGCUUAACUGCGGGCUUGCGGUUGAUACGGGCGGGCUAGAGUUCGGUAGGGGAGACUGGAAUUCCUGGUGUAGCGGUGAAAUGCGCAGAUAUCAGGAAGAACACCCGUGGCGAAGGCGGUUCUCUGGGACGGUACUGACGCUGAGACGCGAAAGCGUGGGGAGCGAACAGG